ACGCUGGCGGCACGCCUAACACAUGCAAGUCGAACGAAGUAGCAAUACUUAGUGGCAGACGGGUGAGUAACAUGUAGGUAUCUGCCCUUUGGCCUGGAAUAACACGAGGAAACUUGUGCUAAUACCGGAUAAGUCUUUACGGAGAAAGCUUUAUGCACCAUUGGAUGAGCCUGCACUUGAUUAGUUUGUUGGUGGGGUAAUGGCCUACCAAGACUGUGAUCAAUAGCUGAUUUGAGAGGAUGAUCAGCCACAUUGGGACUGAGACACGGCCCAAACUCCUACGGGAGGCAGCAGUGGGGAAUCUUGCACAAUGGAGGAAACUCUGAUGCAGCGAUGCCGCGUGAGUGAAGAAGGCCCUUGGGUUGUAAAGCUCUUUCGUCGGGGAAGAAAAUGACUGUACCCGAAUAAGAAGGUCCGGCUAACUUCGUGCCAGCAGCCGCGGUAAUACGAAGGGACCUAGCGUAGUUCGGAAUUACUGGGCUUAAAGAGUUCGUAGGUGGUUGAAAAAGUUAGUGGUGAAAUCCCAGAGCUUAACUCUGGAACUGCCAUUAAAACUUUUCAGCUAGAGUAUGAUAGAGGAAAGCAGAAUUUCUAGUGUAGAGGUGAAAUUCGUAGAUAUUAGAAAGAAUACCAAUUGCGAAGGCAGCUUUCUGGAUCAUUACUGACACUGAGGAACGAAAGCAUGGGUAGCGAAGAGGAUUAGAUACCCUCGUAGUCCAUGCCGUAAACGAUGUGUGUUAGACGUUGGAAAUUUAUUUUCAGUGUCGCAGCGAAAGCGAUAAACACACCGCCUGGGGAGUACGACCGCAAGGUUAAAACUCAAAUGAAUUGACGGGGACCCGCACAAGUAGUGGAGCAUGUGGUUUAAUUCGAAGAUACGCGCAGAACCUUACCAACACUUGACAUGUUCGUCGCGACUCUAAGAGAUUAGAGUUUUCGGUUCGGCCGGACGAAACACAGGUGCUGCAUGGCUGUCGUCAGCUCGUGUCGUGAGAUGUUGGGUUAAGUCCCGCAACGAGCGCAACCCUCACUUUUAGUUGCCAUCAUUAAGUUGGGCACUCUGAAAGAACUGCCAGUGAUAAGCUGGAGGAAGGUGGGGAUGACGUCAAGUCCUCAUGGCCCUUACGUGUUGGGCUACACACGUGCUACAAUGGUAUCUACAACAGGAAGCAAGACUGCGAAGUUAAGCAAAUCCCUAAAAGAUACCUCAGUUCGGAUUGCACUCUGCAACUCGAGUGCAUGAAGCUGGAAUUACUAGUAAUCGUGGAUCAGCGUGCCACGGUGAAUGCGUUCCCGGGUCUUGUACACACCGCCCGUC
Molecule: ribosomal RNA, 1318 nt
Filed under: uncultured Alphaproteobacteria bacterium
Lineage: Bacteria; Pseudomonadati; Pseudomonadota; Alphaproteobacteria
Description: uncultured alpha proteobacterium 16S ribosomal RNA
Rfam family: Bacterial small subunit ribosomal RNA
Source: RNAcentral